RNAcentral lists this ribosomal RNA (473 nucleotides) under uncultured organism. Its description in RNAcentral is "partial 16S ribosomal RNA". It matches the Rfam family "Bacterial small subunit ribosomal RNA", at positions 333 to 797 of the family's 1533-position model. The record is from RNAcentral.
ACACUCCUGCGGGAGGCAGCAGUGGGGAAUUUUGGACAAUGGGCGAAAGCCUGAUCCAGCAAUGCCGCGUGAGUGAAGAAGGCCUUCGGGUUGUAAAGCUCUUUUGUCAGGGAAGAAACGGUGAAAGCUAAUAUCUUUUGCUAAUGACGGUACCUGAAGAAUAAGCACCGGCUAACUACGUGCCAGCAGCCGCGGUAAUACGUAGGGUGCAAGCGUUAAUCGGAAUUACUGGGCGUAAAGCGUGCGCAGGCGGUUUUGUAAGUCUGAUGUGAAAUCCCCGGGCUCAACCUGGGAAUUGCAUCGGAGACUGCAAGGCUAGAAUCUGGCAGAGGGGGGUAGAAUUCCACGUGUAGCAGUGAAAUGCGUAGAUAUGUGGAGGAACACCGAUGGCGAAGGCAGCCCCCUGGGUCAAGAUUGACGCUCAUGCACGAAAGCGUGGGGAGCAAACAGGAUUAGAUACCCGAGUAGUCCCA